AAGUUAAGGACAUAGGAUUUGCAUAGAAUGAGACUGACAAGGCCAUGAAGCAUCUAAUCAGCUUGUCAGCUGCAUCCUGCAGGUUGCUACGACAAAAGAUUUUCUCCAAAAUAUACAGGAUGCCAUGGAGACUGACUGAAAAAAAGCUCUUAAUCCCUGCUUUGCUGGUGCUGACAGGAGAAUAGAUCUCUAGACACAUAGCAUAUUUGGUAAGCAGGAAGCUGGAGACUGAGGUGGUCAAAAGGGUGAAAACUUGCCUGUCUGUGGCAGUCCGGCUUUUCCUCAUAACUAUAUCACAGGAUAUUAAUUUGCCAAACAGGCUAUAAUCCAGCUACAAAAAUCUGGGCUUUGGGGAUUGCUAGUCAUGAAGCACAUGACUUUACAGAAAAGCUGGUGAAUGGUUUUAUGCCAGGAACGGUGCAAAAUAAACUCACUUAGCAACCUGAGAGAAUAUUUACAGUCUACAAAUUUAACUACACAGAUGUAGAGGAAGGUGAGCCCUCCAUCUUCUGUAAUUUGAGACGACUCAAAGAAUGCCUCUUGGAGAGAAUUCCAUUUUAAUUUUUUCCCUGUUUUUUACUUAAUACACUUCUAAUGCCGUACACUUGUGUUGUUCUUACUUGAACAUCAACGAUUUUUAUGUUGGAGUUGUAUGAUAAACUUGCAUUUGAUUAACAUCGAGUUAUGCAGGUCACAGAUCCAUAAUCCAAAACUUACAGCAAUCUUGGCUCAGACAGAUUUAUUAGCUAAAGUGCAGUGUCCCACCUAUUGCUUUUAUUUCUACUUGCUACCAUUCUGGAGUGGUGAAUUUUGGAGACAUCACAUUAUUUUUCUGUGGAAAUGUAUAUGUUUCUAUUUCAGGAAUUGCUAAUCAGACAAGGAAGGGAAAUUCUCCUUAACAAGUGUCAGGCCCAGUGGAGCUUCUGCUGUGCAUGAUCCAAACUAACUCCAGGAAGAGCAUCUGUCCUUGCUCUCUUCCUGUAGGGAUGAGGAGGCUCCUGUGCUGGGGCCAGCCCUGGUAAGAAAAAGGGAGGAUGUUGCUGGCAUCCUAAGUAGUGGUCUCAUCAAUGCUACAGUGCACUCAGCAGGACCCAAACUGAUGUCUGAUGAUGUCUGUGCUUUGUCGGUGUCCUAAAUGAUUCAGGGGACACUGCACUAUUGUGUCACUCAAGCUUGUUCAUAAUUUAGGAUAACUUGGUUCCUACAAUCACAGCAAUAGAGACACAAUUGAAUUAAUCUAUUUAUGCUGCAUAACUUGGCACCUCUGAAACUGUUGCUGAAUGAUUUCGUAUUCCUUGUAGAGAUCCAAUAAAAUCUGUAGAAAAGAGCAAUAAACACUAGCAACAGAUCAUUUCAGUUUUAGUGUAGUAUAUUUCUUUGUGACUGUAAGAAGGAUAACGUGCAUGAAAAAAAUAAAUGACCCUUCUCCUUGACUGCGAAGUGUUGCUGAUUUUUCUUACUGUCCUUCUAAGUAAGAAACUUCAGUUUCUCUUCCAGGAGGGCUAAAUUGAUGGUAAUGUUGACAGACAAAAAGAAAAUCAAUUACAUUUUCAACACAGAUAUUAAUUUAGAGGUGGUCUGUGGACUAAUGUUACAAGGAAUUUUACUUUAAAAUUACAUUAUGACUGACUAACAUUAAUCUGUUUCAUUUGUAAGGUAUGCAUACUAAAUAACUGAUAUAAAUAGUUGUUCCUAUUGAAAAAACACUCAACUACCAAUAAAAUUCAAGUAUAAAACCGAUGAGACAGCUUUUUAGGCACCACCCCAAUUACUCCAGGAGUUCACAAAGCAACAUCUGCAGUCAUUAAAUAGUAUCUAUUUACUGUGGAAUUUACUGAUUAGAGCAAUUAAUCUCUUAAAACAUUUGCUUUGACUCCCUUAGAGCACACAUCUCUCUCAGGCUAUUGAAGCAUUUCUCUGGCUGCAUAUUCUAAGUCAAGAAGAUACCCACUGAUUCAGUAGACUUUGGAUUAGUUCCUUGGCUGUUGUUCAAUACAGCAUGGAAAACUUUUCCCUAUCUGUCAUGUGCUAAGUAUGGAAUACGAUCACACAAUCUCUAUGCAGUGUUCAUACUGCUUCUUACAUCUUGAUAGAAUCCAGAGUAACAGACAGCUCAGCUGUGCUACAUAAUGGAAAAGAAUGAAUAAAACAAGUAGAUCAGGGUCUGUACAAUAUAAUGCAGAAGUACCAUUGCAAGGAGCCAGCCAAUGUUACAAAUCCUGUUUCAGUGCUGGGCUUGCAAGACUCAGGCUAUUCUCCAGAAUUCUUGAUUGUGAACUUUAACUCAUGCACAGAUAAAACUUGGAUCCAUUGAGCCUAUUACUCAAAGCUCUGUGGGAAAGUAGGUGUACAUCUGGGUCUGUUCCAGCCCUGGAAGCAGUACAGCUGUAUUAACAAUGUGCUUCGUGUAUCACUAAAUGCUCUGCUGGACUUGAUGUUUUGUAUCCCUAGCACGGAUGAUCAACAGAGCACAUUACCUGCUUAAGGAUAAAUGAGAGUUGGCUGCAUUUGCCAAAUGUGAAUCAGUGUUUCUGUUAGAUGUAGUGUGUAAACUUGAAGUUAUAUACAGUUCUUUUAGACCACCAGUUCCAUAGGAUUCUUAUUAUCUUUUUGAUUGUUAAUAAUAAUAAAAAAAAGAAUGUUGGCGAGAAAAACAACUGUGGGCUAAUCACAUAUCAAAAAAUGUUAUUAAAAAUAAAUUAUAUCUCAAAGUUUUUAAUAGGCUUUUGCUGUAAUAUAAUUGCAUACUAAAAACAAAUUGAAAAUUGGUAUUUUAUCACAGAAUCAUAGAAUAUCUUGGGUUGGAAAGAACCUUAAAGUCUACCUAGUUCCAACAUCUGCUUUGGGCAUGGCUGCCACCCCCCAGCUCAGAUGCCCAGGCCCCAUCUAACUUGGUUUCCAAUACCUCCAGGGAUGGGGCACUCACAAUUUCUCUGGGCAGUUGUGCCAGUGCCUCACCACCCUCUGAGAAAAAAGAAAUCCUGAUGUGUAAUCUAAAUCUCCUACCUUUUAGUUUGAAAACAUUACCCCAAGUGAUGAUUAAAGUAUUGUAUUAAAUGCUUUCUUACAUUGCUAUAAGAGGGCCUGAACCUUGGAGAUUAAAGGGAAGAAAAAGAAAAAGCCAGUGUAAGAUGUAGUAAGUAAGAAUAAGAGUAAAUAUAUGAAAUGUAUUGGAGCAGGUCCGGAGGAGGACCAUGAAGAUGAUCAGAGGGCUGGAACAUCUCCCACAUGAGGACAGCCUGAGAGAGCUGGGGUGCUUCAGUAUGGAGAAGGCUCUGAGGAGACCUUAUAGUGGCCUUCCAGUACCUGAAGUAUGCUUACAGGAAAGCUGGGGAGGGACUUUUUGUAAGAGCUACAGGAUGAGGGGAAAUGGUUUUAAACUGAAAGAGGGUAGAUUUAGAUUAGAUAUUAUGAAGAAAUUCUUAACUGUGAGGGUGGUGAGACACUGGAACAGGUUGCCCAGUGAGGUUGUGAAUGACCCUUCCCUGGACGCAUUCAAGGCCAGGCUGGAUGGGGCUGUGAACAACCUGGUGUAGAGGGACAUAUCCCUGCCUACAGCAGGGGGAUUGGAACUAGGUGAUCUUAAAGGUCCCUUCCAACCCAAACCAUUCUAUGAUUCAUUCUAUGAUUCUAUUCUAUGAAAUUAAUUAGUUAAUAAUAAUAGUUCUGUAUUGUAAUUGAAAGCCUUAAAAAAAAGUAUAUUCUUACAUAUGAUCAAAGUAUAUCACAAAGAAACAGAAAAAAAAAAAAGCUAAAGAAAGGUCAAUGUCAGUUGAAGUUAUUCAGAACAGUAUAUCAGUGGAUAUAUAUAUCAUGGAUCCAUUUAAUCAUGUUGAUCUGUUGAACUGCAGGUAUGCAGAUUCAAAUAAGAUAAUUCUGAGAUUCAGAAUUAUAUUUACAGUUCAUUUUAAAAUGCUGGCCCAAGGAAAAUUAUUGUUGUCUGGCAAAGUAUCUCUUAGUCUGUUAUUCUGCUUUGUACAAAUGUAUUUAAAACAAAUGUAUGUAUGUCGAAGGACAUUUGAAAGACAGGGAUUUUUAGUAGAAAUUUUGUGUGAGUCUUCUGAAUCUACUCAGAAAUUUAAAAUAUCAGGAGCUUUACAGGAUUUACCUUCCCAAGGAUUGACAAACAGGCUGAUUCGGUAAGAUGAAACAGUAAUUAAGUACUUUCAUAUAUUCAGUUCCAGACGGGUUAGUAACACAUUCCAAGCUGAUAUGAAUGGCACAAUUUGUCCUCUGGAAUUGCAUCUUUCUCUCCACUAAGAAUGAAGUGAAGGCCAGAGAGGUGAAGCUCCAUUCCUAUAACCAGGCUUGCACAUCUUUACACUCUGUAAGUCUGGCUCAGCUACAGAUACUUAUGCACACGAAUAACCUUUUCACAUCAAUAUCCUCCUGAAGACCACAGAGUAACAGUUAACUGAAGAAAAGAAUGUGUAUACAUCUCUAGGGUCAUACCUCAUUCUGUGUCUCUAUUUUUGAAUAUGUUUCCAAUUCAGAGGUCACUGUUAAAAAUUCUUGCACAUCAUAAGGCUUAUGUUCAGGAAAGAGGGUGUCAUCAAUGACUGUGUAUCUCAGGGCAUUAUGUCCUUUCUAAGGAAACAGAAAACUGUGGUGAGUAGCAGCGAAGAAAUUGUCUAGUAUAAAACUGAAACUGAAAUUUAUUUUCAAAGUGGAGAAAAGGGGGUGCCAAGAAGGAACACUUGCCUGAUCCAAACACACUGGCAUCUACUUUGGUGUUUUUAGUUCAGACUGUGAAUCCAAAAUAUAAUCCUGUUUUCAUUGACAGUGAAGAUCUUAACCAGCAUAGAUAUUGGCUUGGAUUGCCCAACCAAAAUCCCAGGAGUUGCUCAUUAAUUCAGCAAGCCACAUUUCCUGUAAGAGAGAAUUACCUGAAGAUAGAUUGACAAUGGUGAUCUGUUUCAGUCUCUUUCAUUACUAGAUGCUUUAGCUAUUGUUUUUCCCUGGGACAAUAGUUUUUAUUACUGCUUAUCCAUAUUUCCAGAAAUAUAGCAAAUCAUGUGCAUCUUGAAAUAAAAUGGAAGCAUGAAAAUGAUACUAAAAAUCAUUCAAAAGUCAUUGAAAAUAAAAUAUUUGUUUGUUUCAGACUUAGAAAAUAUACAGCCAGACAAUAUAAAUUAGGUAAUUUCCUUACCUGUUUCACUCUAACCUAGACAGGUUCAACAAGUUCAGAAACACUGGUGAAAAGGCAAGAUAAGAGGUAGGUAGUCUGGGCUAGCUUGUGUAUGUAUAUUCAUGAGGUGGGAUGACUGUCAGUGAGAUAUUGGUGGGAGUACUGGGUCACUUGCCUGGGUUUUGGAAUGAAAUAUCCAAAGAAAAACCAUCUUGUGUGAUCUUGAAAAUCAAUUCAUUAACAGGAAAGCUGUGUCACAUGGAGUAGUGCAUAUUAUUUCUAUUUGUAAAUAUUUUCAACAUGUGAAAAUGACAAAGAAGGCCACACAAAUACUGUAAAAAAAGAUAGAAAUAACAGAUCCAGUACUUAUUUAGGAAAGUAAACAAAACAAAACAAAUAAACAUUUCUUUUCUCUUUUGUUUGGUGACACUCCGGCUGCAAAAAUUAGAGUUAUGGCUCUUCUAACUUCCCAGUACAAAAGAAAUACUGUUCUUUGUUCUGUCCUAAUGCCUAGGUUUUCAUGGGUUGGGUUUUCAUGGGUUGGGUUUUCAUGACUCAUUUCUCCUUUACUGCAUCUGGGUGCUGGUACCUGGAGAAAUGAAUAAGAAUGGGUAGAACAUACCCGUCUUGGUUAUCCUGCAAAUCUGAAAGUGUUUUGAUAUUCUGGUCCACACUGAUGGCAUGAGUAGUUUUUCUCUUUUAUCUCUGUCAAGAAUUUUUAGAUUUGAGAUAUCUGCUUUACAAUUCAGGUGGAGCAUGAGAGAGAACCUGGGCUGAAGUUAAAUCUGUCACAUCCAGAACACAGCAUGAAUAAUUUUCCUCUGAUUUACAGUUUGGUGUAACUUGUUAUGAAGAUGUCAGUAGUUUGUCUUUUUCUCCUUUUAAAGUGGUGACACAGUGAAUGACCAGAACAUGCUCUCUGCAUUGAUUAGUAGUAGAAGCUUUAGCAUGACUAGCUCUAAACAGACAUUUGAAAGAUGAGAGUGAAGAAUUUUUUAAAAUGGCACAGUGUGAAAAUUUCACUUGUAGGGUCUUUAUAUGGAGCAAAGAGGUUAUCCACCUAAGGACAAAUAUAAAGUGCAAUGAAAGCUCAAUUUAAAAGCAAGACACCUGCAGCUUGCAGCUCAAUAAACUCUUUUUUUUUCUUUUUUUCUUUUUUUUUUGGGGGGGGGGAGGAAAAUUAAUAGUGAAAGAUUGAGACUAAUUUUCAUGUUUUUAACUUCAAUACUCAAGUAUUAUCUGUUCAUCCAAUGUUUUGCUGCAACCUGUGGUUACUGUGUCUACCAUCCACACUAGACGAUGGGAAGAGGACCUGCACAAUAGGAAAUGUUCUUGCUUAACCCCAGGCAACAGCCCUAACUGAGCAUGAUAAUUCAAAAGAAGGAUUGAUCAAAAUGGGAAACUGCAGACCUCUGGUGACAUUGCAAAUGAGGUGAAGGAAACAGCACAAUUAUUUGUGUAGAUAUGGUGGCAUGGCAUCCCCCUGGAAUUCAGGCUGAGACAGGGAGACUUGGGCAACUCCUAGAAGAGACCAGUAAAGCCAGUUGCAGAACAAACUCUGUCUUCCUUUGUAUCUCAUAUUUUUCACCUGAUUUUAAAUAUGCUUUUCUCUCCACUCCUGCUGUAACGGUAAGCAGGAAUUUAUUCUUAGUUCCUAAAACAGAAGCAGGAAAGCAGUGUUAAUAAUUACUUUUACAAAUCUGUAAUGAGAUAAAAAAAACAAGUGCCUUAACCUAGGUAGAGAAGAAUUAUUUGUGGGGCUUUAGCUUUCUUUCAAUUAAGAACAAAAAUCAGAAGGAAUUCCAGUUAGAAAAAAAUGAACUUAAAAUUUUACUACGAUUGAGAAGACUCAAUAUCACAACAGUAAUACUCAGAUUGCCCAGCCUAGUGUGAAUACAGAAACAUGGGAAUAUAGUUUAUGUCUCAGCUGGAAUCAGCUUGCUCAUAUCUAUGAUACUCAAAAUUGUAUGAACUAUAUGAACAUCACUGUUUUGCUUGAUUCCUGUAAGCACAUCAUGCAACUGAGUUCUGGUGAGGAGGAAGCAAUGCUAUUUGCCUUUAUAUUAUGUGAUUUGGGUGGGAGGGCUGUGUUGUUUCUGUUGUUUUUUCUUGGCAUUUGUGUUGAUAUAAUAUAUAUUCAUCAUUUAUAAUAUGCCAGUAAAAAUCUGUUAAAGAUGCUGUCGUUGAGUUACUCAAGUACAAAAAGCUUGCAGAAAUAGUAUUCUCCAAGUUUACUGUAAUUUUCAAGAAGCUUAUAAAAUGUAUAUACAUUUGAAGGGUUAGUUGAGAAAUUUCCCACUAGUCAUUGCUGCUAUAGUUAUGUUGUAUGAACAAAAGGCAACAUGUUUACUGUCUUUGUUUUGCUUUUUCAGGCUCUGUAAUCUGCAGUGAACCAUGCACUGAAUUUCUGCCUCUGGUGAUGUAAUAUUCCUUUUAUCCAUUAUAAUAUACUCUGCAAAAGACAGAAUACAAAUAGCACAAUGAGAAACAUUUACUCAUACUUUUUACUCCAUUUUCUAAUGUAUUUCUUUUCAGGAUAGGAAAACACAGGCUACCAACUAAUGUAUUUUGUUUCUGAUCUGACAGCGAAGAGUGGUAAAGAGACAAGAGGAAAGGGGUACCUUGUCUGUUUAGUCAGGCAUGUCCACGCUGUGGCUUGCAGGCCACAUUUAGCCCAGCACAGCUCAUGCUGCGGCUGCCCCCUGACUCGUGCCAUCACAGGGUGGCUAUUCUCUGCCUGGCCUGGCCUUCAGCACCAACUGAUCAUCAGUGUGCUCUUAACCCCAUCUGGGCUGAAACCAGGGCACAGAGGGCAGUGCAGUACCAGCUCAGGUUAUUGAAAAUAAGUUUAUGGAUUUUGAUACACUGGCUAAACAUUAGUCCCCUGAUGACAGUGGUUAACCUCCGCUGGUGCAGAUUAUGAUGAGCACGACAUGCAGGCUUUUGUUCACCUUUGGUGAAAAUGCAUAGUUAAUGGUGGUGACUGUGUUGUUCCAUAAGAAGUUGACCUCCAAUGUCUGCUGAAUCCUCCUCCCCAUACAGCAGUAUGAGACUGAGAGGAAGAAUGCAUGGAGUGAUACCCCAGAUGCAGUGUGGGAGUGUUUGCUGAGCUACACCAGACUACACCAGAAAGAGAGGAAAAUUCUCUUUACACUGGAUAACUUAAAACUGCACUGAUUCCAAGAAACUGCAUUGACUCCAAGAACUGAUGAAGGAACUUGACAAGUAUCAUGUAAACGUCUCCUGGCACAGAGAUAUGACUUGGCCUAAGAGAUACCCUUCAUGACUGUUGUCUAAUACCAACAUGUUUUAAAUGGCAGCCUUAUGUCUAGCAUUGCUUUUGGCCUUUCUCCUCCUCACAUCCUCAUAGCCUUAGCAAUGUCUAGCUGUGGGUAUUCCUCCAACCCCAUAUCAUCCACUCUUUAAAUUGAAUUGGAAGAUUUGGACGCUUUUCUUUCAUUAAAAUGUAAAACAAACAAAAGAAAAAAAUUGAAACAACAACAACAAAACAAACAAACAAACAAAAAAACCAACCCACAAACAAAACCAAAACAAAACAGAACACAGGUUGAACUAUGACAGCACACACGUCAGUGCAACCCAGGCUCAGGUCUUUCUGGCAGAUACCUGGCAAGGAGUGCGCAAGUAUGACAAUGGUGCAGUGGUAUUCUGCUGUAACACCAUCCUGCCCUUGUGCUGUGCUCUGUAAGGGAUGUAGGCUUUGUGACUGCUUGGCUCAGUGCACAGACAGUGUUUCAUGAUCUUGAAAGUUUUACCAAAUUAACAAUCUUUACUGAAGCAUAGAUGUAGCGGAGCCUCAUCCAACACUAUGAAUAGGAUAAACAUGCUGGGUUACAUUCAUUUUGCACUUCAUAUUUGUAUAUAAAUCUAAAAUAACUCUGUAAAAACAUGAAAAGUAAGUUUGCACAGUGAAGGCAAAAGGAUGCACUGGUCAGGAUGCGCUCACUUUUUAGGCUUUCAGAUGAGGUAUCUUAAAUAGGAGCUUAAUUCCUCCAGGUGCUCUUCUCAAAGGAAAUACAGAUGUCUUCCACAUAAAGGAUCAGCUUUGUAUAGAAAAGGUCACCGAAGUUACUCCAAUUAUGUUUUCUAAGAAUUAUGGUUUAUCUGUCAUUUGCUACAAAUUGUCUCAUUGUCUUCCUGCCUCUGAACACCUCAACUGCUGAAUUUCUUAAAAAAAUAAAUAAAUAAAAUGAAAUUGCACCCAGAGUUAUUUUCUGGUCCUUUUAUAAAAGACUGAAUGGUAAACGCACAGGUUACAUUUCUGUGUUGUCAUCUUUUGGUCUGACUGUUACUCUCCUAUGAGAACUGAUCUCACUCUCUGGUUAAUAACUAACACUUGUAAGGUAUCAAAAACAUCAUUCAUUCACAUUUUUUUCUUAAAUACAGAAUUAAUUUAAUCCACAAUGAACUUUCCUCUUAUUGUAGUAGCUUUCAGUUUUUGUGUAUAUUUUAUACUCCUCAAAUGCCUUAAUAAAAAAUUUUGGUUUGAGCUAGUCAAACAGAUGUCAUAGCAGAAAUAAGCCAUACUGUUUUAUGACCACACAAUGACCUUGACUUUGCCAAUAAACUACUGGCGUGUGAAGGGUAUUGUUUCCUUGUUGGAUAUUGGACCUCUCCUGAAAAUAGGAUAGGUUUGAUUAAUUCAGGUCAAAUUUAUUCUGAGUGUAACCUCACUGAAAUCAGAAGAAUUACAUUAAAGGAGCAGGUUUUGCUGCAUAAGUUUUAUAUUGGCUAGGUAUAGUCUCCCUUCCUUCACUUGGGAGGAUUUCUGAUAUUCAUUAACCUUUCAGAGCAAGUUUUAUACGAACUGCUCAUUUUUGUCUUAGAAGCUGAUUUAAUUUAAUAUUCUCUACAGCAAACAAAGCAAUAGUUCAAUUUCAGAAAAAACCUUAUGUCAUCCCCCAGUGAAUCACUUACAGGUACUUAACAGAAAGCAAUGUAAGAUAGAAAAUACAGAAAAGUGAAAAUGCCUCUGAACGUUCAAGAGGAUAACAAAUUAGUAAAGCAAGUCAGCAUGGCAGAGAUGAAAGCACAGAGAAUUAUUCAUCUAGAUGGUGAACCAGUUUUUUUUACCAACACAGUGCUAAUGACUGAAUGGAGUUGUGCUAGUGUUUCUGGUGUCUUGAGCCAGAGGCUUCACUACAAUUUAAUAAUACACCUUAGCCUUCACAAAGCUUGGCAGUAGUGUUCAAAUAAUGUGUUUAUUUCAUGCACCUGCAAAGUUUGAAUAAAUGUGAAGAUUUUUUUAUGCAAAUCUAAUACAAAAUCCCUUAGGGUUUUGGUUUUCAUAGAGAAUCAUUCAUUUAAUAACAUUUAGUGUGGAAUAAUAUACUUUUUUUCCUAAACUCUUGUACUACAAAAUAGCUAAAAUAGGUAUUUUAAAGUGCUAUAUUUUGAUUGCUUGAGACCCACUGUUAUUAGAAGUUACAAGUUUAUUAGUUGUCAAAAGAAAUGCAUAGUUUCUAAAUUUUAUAGGUUUUCUUCCAAAUCAAUCUCAACAAAUCCUGCAAAUUUAGAGUUCUUCAAAUUCAUAACUAUUUAAAACGUCUACAGGGUGCAAACUUGGAUUUGAAAUAUAUAUAUAUAUAUAUAUGUAUUUUAAGUAAAUUAGAGUCUACCUUGAAAUCAGACCAUAAAUAACAAUCAAUUCCUGACAGUUUCUGUUAUCUUCUUUGGAGUAAUCAGACUAUCUUUUAGCCUGGCUUUGAUAACAAGCAGAGGUUGUAUUAUCACACUGUACUUGUGUACCUUUGUGUCUUCCCAGUAACUUCUGAAUCAGUUAGCCAGUUUCAAGCCAAUUUGAUUGAAGGCUGAGCUUUCUAAGUUCCCUGAGCAGUUCCUGGUGGUGUUUGCCUUUUGGAGGUCAAAGGAUUUGCCACUUCCUUGGAUGAAACAAAGUGUCAGUGGUCUUGUUUCUGGUUUCCUCGCUUCCUUUCUGGUGACUCUCUUCUCUGUCCAUUUUACUGCCAUGGCCUAGGAAGUUUUUCUGGCUGAGAUGUUUUCCUCUUUGUGCAUCAGCAAUCUGCUCUAUUCAAAACAUUUUUAACACAUUGGAGAGAUUAGAACAUGAAUUCUGGACACAAAUUUCUUCUACUUCCAAGUGGGUAAGAGCUCAGUUUGUGCACGUGUGGCCCUCGCAUUGUCACUGGAAAAUACCACUGGCAAUGCCAAGCUUACACAUCUGAGCAUGGCAGUUGCCAGAGUAUGAUCGCACAAACCUCGGUGUUUGGUAUGAAUGCCAGGGGCCUAUGAUUUCAUGUUCAUGUGCAUUUUCCUCUACUAUAUUAAAGCUAAUAGCAAAAAGUAAUAGCAGCUCUAAUUAUCCCUUUAAGGCACAACUGCUGUUGUUGAGCACUGCCAAAUUCUCACCAACCUUUCAUUUUUCCUUUGUACAAACUCAUUAAAGGACUGCAAGUUCCUUCAACACUCUCUGCAAGUGUUCAGCAUGGCAUCAAAUUCUGCACCUUUAGAGUUUUGUAGAAAAGAAGUGAAGUUAUAGCUAACUAAAUGCUAACUAAUAAAUGUUGGGAAUGAAAACAAAGUAUUAGUACAUGUCAGAAAUACUUCUGGCUCUGUAAUCAGUAGGGUACUUUUUUGCUGACAUACAGUAUGUGAACAAAAGUAGUGAGUUAGUCUGCUUGAGAUAGUUAUAACCCAAAUGAAAUACCUCUUUGAAAUAAACAUCCAUUCACAAAAAAUUAUUUUGGCUAAAUAUCAGUUGACCAUUUCAAAUAUUUUGUUCAUUUCUUAAGUAACAGUAAGCAAAUCCCAUCCUUUCAAGUCAUGUUAAAUCCUUCCUUUGGAGCAUGCAUUUAAACACAGCUCUGUUUUUAUUCCAGAGGGUUUCUGUGAGGAUUUGUCAAGGUAUAUGUUAUUUCUCUCCUCUCAGUGAUAAGGAUUCAAGAGUACAACCGCUCAUUUCAAAAUGCACCAAUUGCUUACAGCCAACACCGAGAUGUUAAAAUAAUAAGGGUUUUAUUUUCCUCUUCUUUGCUUUGUGGCACAGUUUUACUGGGGGUUCAGAAAAAUGUCAUAAGGAAUUUUGCUCUUGGAAUAAAAAAAGGGGGAACAGAAAUGAAAAGCAUUCUUGUAAUUGACUAACAGCUGUGUGUGAGCAUUAGUGUUUGAAAGGGGUGUAAAGACUGGGAUGUGAGCUGUUGCUGGAUGUUAAAUAAGAAAUUGAGUUCUGUUUUUUUUUCUCUUAGCUACAGCGAUGGAGAUGUGUAAUGCUGUAAGUGUGUUCUGUUGUACCAUCCAUGACCUCAACGGAGUGGGAGAAAAUGGGUUUUUGCUGUCAGCCUCUCAUCCUGUUAAAGAUUUGAGUUUUACUCCAACAUUACUUCCAGUCUAAUUGCAUUUGACCCAGAACUCUUGCUGUGCUAGUGUCAGUCAGCAUAACUGGAGGCCUCUGUGCAGCUAGUAUUUAUAGAGUAAGUAUAAUUGCUUGCUAAGCCUUACAAGCAUCAGCCUUAUGAACUUCCUCAUUUUCAUUAAAAUAGAGGCUUCUCUACACUUGCCUGCAGAGGCAAUACAGACAAGGUAUUUAUGCGUCCUCAGUAGAAGCUGCCUGCUUUGAGAAACAAGGAAAGGGAAGUAAAAAAAGCUUGCCCUAUUAAAUGUAACUAUAAAUUAAAAAUAGAAACCUGUAGUUGGGUAUAAAAACUAGUACAUAUGUUUACUAGCAAAAUACUGAUAAAUGCAAAUUCCUAGUGUCUGUAUGCUUAUGUGUUAAAAUUGCAGAGCUAUUUGUUUAUUUGCACAUCUUAGGAAGAUGUUCAAUUUCCUGUUUCAAGGGCAAAAAUGCAAUGCUCAAAAUGUAAAGUUUUUUUAUUUAUGACAUUACAAAGCAAGAAAUCUAGAUUUUUUUUUUUUUUUUUUUUUGCCUUUUCAUAGGUGAAGAAAUGCCUUUUCUUCAAUUUGGCAUUUCAGAAUGAGACCUGCUAGUCAAUCUUCUCUAGUAUUCUAUUAACUCCUGAACCCACAUGUAGGCUAAAUUGCAAUAGGUUGGGGCAGAAUUUUAUUACUCUGAUAUUCAAUACACAAUAAAGGGAAUAUAUGACUUUCGUAUUUCUAAAGUGAUGUCUGGAGCAAGAUGCGGUAUUAGUGCUGCACAGUUCGAAGUACAUCCUCAAGCAUGCCCAGCAGCCUCAAUGUGGAAAUCAUGUACCCAUGAGAGCUGGAAGCAUAGAAUAUUUUGCAGUAGCAAGCUUUCCAAUAUGCAUGUCAAUUAUUGUACCAAUUGGAGGAAAGACAGUGUGUGGGUUACAGCACAAGGCUGUGCAUAUGCUGAUCUCAGUUCUCUUUUUCCUGCCAUUUUUCUGUAAAUAGUCAAAGCAAGCUAUUUUCGAUGUGCAAGCAGUUUCAUUUAUACAAUGCAACCUUUCCCUUCUCUCUCAUAAUAAUGUACCAAAAAGCUCUAAAACAGCUAUUCAGGAUUUACUAUCCAGGAUUACUAUAUUUACUCCUCAAGAUUCUAUAUCAUAAAAAUAAAACAUGAGCUAAUGCAACAUCUGCCUACUAGAGAUCCUCUCCUCAUGCUGUUCUAUGACUUCCCUGUGAUACACAUUCCUUGGGAUUCUCCACCUUCUCCUCAAAAAAAUCUCAUUUUCUGUGUUUAAGCUCUGAUACCUUUGAAAGGCACUCCUUCUUUGCCUGUGUGCUGAGAUGGAAGUUUUUAAUUAUUAAAGAGCAUAUAUCAAUUAUUUCUAGGUUUCUGGUAUGCCAUGCCUUUCUUUAUCUUUGAGGUUUUUCUAGCAAGGACUUUACUUCUGACCUGGUGCAACAUUGGAUGUAGCACAAGUGCACAAUCAUGUAGACACUACUGUGACCCUCAAAGGACGGAAUAGAUGAACACAGUCAUGGUGUCUCCAGAUAUAUGUUGAAGUGAUUUAGGACUCCUAUAUUUUCUCCCUGAAAUCCUAGACAGAAAAUGGUUGUGUGCAGUGCAGAGCAUUUGUGUUAUCAACAUUCCUAUGUUCUGGAUGCGUCAGACUCUCAGCACACGUGCAGGUAAGUUUUCCAUCUCAUGUCUAU
RNAcentral lists this long non-coding RNA (14182 nucleotides) under Gallus gallus (chicken). Lineage: Eukaryota; Metazoa; Chordata; Aves; Galliformes; Phasianidae. The record is from RNAcentral.